This 195-nucleotide ribosomal RNA is filed under the name uncultured Streptococcus sp. RNAcentral describes it as "partial 16S ribosomal RNA". It matches the Rfam family "Bacterial small subunit ribosomal RNA", at positions 1187 to 1382 of the family's 1533-position model. The record is from RNAcentral. Lineage: Bacteria; Bacillati; Bacillota; Bacilli; Lactobacillales; Streptococcaceae.
AAAUCAUCAUGCCCUUAUGACCUGGGCUACACACGUGCUACAAUGGUUGGUACAACGAGUUGCGAGUCGGUGACGGCGAGCUAAUCUCUUAAAGCCAAUCUCAGUUCGGAUUGUAGGCUGCAACUCGCCUACAUGAAGUCGGAAUCGCUAGUAAUCGCGGAUCAGCACGCCGCGGUGAAUACGUCCCCGGGCCUU